UACGGAGGGGGCAAGCGUUGUUCGGAAUCAUUGGGCGUAAAGGGCGCGUAGGUGGUUCUGUAUGUCUAUCGUGAAAGCAUACAGCUCAACUGUAUUUUGUCGGUAGAAACUGCAGGACUUGAGGCUGGGAGGGGCUGGUGGAAUUCCCUGUGUAGCGGUGAGAUGCGUAGAGAUGGGGGAGAACACUCGUGGCGAAGGCGGCCAGCUGGACCAGUUCUGACACUGAGGCGCGACAGCGUGGGGAGCAAACAGG
This 253-nucleotide ribosomal RNA is filed under the name uncultured bacterium. RNAcentral's name for it is "partial 16S ribosomal RNA". It matches the Rfam family "Bacterial small subunit ribosomal RNA", at positions 524 to 776 of the family's 1533-position model. The record is from RNAcentral.